This is a non-coding RNA of Rattus norvegicus (Norway rat), 1012 nucleotides long. NCBI's taxonomy places the organism in Eukaryota, Metazoa, Chordata, Mammalia, Rodentia, Muridae. The record is from RefSeq and is a predicted model, not a curated record.
GCGGUCACCUGGAAUUUUAGUAAAAGCACAUACAUAAAUGGGACCGGUCAUGGAUUGUGGAGGACAGAGAAAGGAUGGUUCAGAAGGCUUCACGAAGGAAGUGGGUCUCAAGAAAGGAGGGACCCAUAGAGAUUACAGAAGAUCGGAUGGACCACAGGCUGGGUUUGGCAAGCAUGCUCUCAUCUGCUAAGUUUGGCUCUAAAGGAAACACCUGCAGCUGAGAUAAAACCGUCCUUCAUGACCAGAAGAGGCGUCCAGAUGUGCUUGCAGACAGCUGGGGUGUUUCUGUGUCUUCUGCCUUCUGAGGCCUCUCUUAAGAGCUCCCCAUACCAGGCCCCUCUGCCACUCUGCAUGUGCCCUUUUUCUUCUGUCCUCACGGUCCCUCCAAUCUAUUACUCCCUCAGUCCCAGCCAGGCAGCCGCCGACUGACGAGGCUCGGCGGUCUUCACACUAACGUGAUUGCUCAAAACACUGCUGCCCCUUCCUCACGGCUGUGUUGGUUCCUACUCACUAGGAACUGAGUUCAAUACUUUUAAGCCAAUUUUUUUUAUUUUAUUCUCUGCUGUAAUAGCCACAAACUUUAAAAAAAAAAAAGUUCAUAAGUACACAUCACAUUCUUCACUCUGCAAAGGUCAGAGACCUUACAGGAAUUAUGGAACUUCCGGGCGUAAUUCUGUGCCCCAGCAUUCCACGCUAUAAUUACCAGUUUCUUUAGCACACUUGGAUAACGCUGUGGCUUUCUCUCACAAAAGCUUUACAAUAUUGGCAAAGCUAAUCCUGGGCUUCCCCACAGCUCACUUAGCACUCAGCGCCCCAGAAGUGUCACAAUCCAUCUAUCUGCCUUCUGGUGCCCUGUGAAGAAAUACUGGCACCAAUUUUACUUCCCCAGAGGCUUGAAGGGGAGCUGAAGUAUAGAUGGUUGUAAACAGUCUAUGCCAUAUGUGAAGGAGUAGGAAGUAGACGGUUUGGUCUUCCAAUCUGUUGGUUUUGAAUAAAUUACUGUUCAGGGAAA